Molecule: transfer RNA, 88 nt
Filed under: Maricaulis maris
Lineage: Bacteria; Pseudomonadati; Pseudomonadota; Alphaproteobacteria; Maricaulales; Maricaulaceae
Description: tRNA-Leu
Rfam family: tRNA
About the family: Transfer RNA (tRNA) molecules are approximately 80 nucleotides in length.
Source: RNAcentral
GCGGACGUGGUGGAAGUGGUAUACACAUCAGACUUAAAAUCUGACGCCUUUCAAAGGCUUGCGGGUUCAAGUCCCGCCGUCCGCACCA